Molecule: ribosomal RNA, 95 nt
Filed under: Psychrobacillus psychrotolerans
Lineage: Bacteria; Bacillati; Bacillota; Bacilli; Caryophanales; Bacillaceae
Description: partial 16S rRNA. Bacterial SSU
Rfam family: Bacterial small subunit ribosomal RNA
Source: RNAcentral
CUAUUAUGGAGAGUUUGAUCCUGGCUCAGGACGAACGCUGGCGGCAUGCCUAAUACAUGCAAGUCGAGCGAAUGACGAAGAAGCUUGCUUCUUCU